GACGAACGCUGGCGGCGUGCUUAACACAUGCAAGUCGAGCGGUAAGGCCCUUCGGGGUACGACGAGCGGCGAACGGGUGAGUAACACGUGGGUGACCUGCCUCUAGCUCUGGGAUAAGCCUGGGAAACUGGGUCUAAUACCGGAUAUGACUCCACGGCGCAUGUUGUGGGGUGGAAAGCCUUGUGUGGCUAGAGAUGGGCCCGCGGCCUAUCAGCUUGUUGGUGGGGUGAUGGCCUACCAAGGCGACGACGGGUAGCCGGCCUGAGAGGGCGGACCGGCCACACUGGGACUGAGACACGGCCCAGACUCCUACGGGA
RNAcentral lists this ribosomal RNA (317 nucleotides) under uncultured bacterium. RNAcentral's name for it is "bacterial SSU rRNA". It matches the Rfam family "Bacterial small subunit ribosomal RNA", at positions 28 to 346 of the family's 1533-position model. The record is from RNAcentral.